RNAcentral lists this unclassified non-coding RNA (378 nucleotides) under plant metagenome. RNAcentral's name for it is "partial contains 5.8S ribosomal RNA, internal transcribed spacer 2, and large subunit ribosomal RNA". The stretch from base 1 to 105 matches the Rfam family "5.8S ribosomal RNA", at positions 50 to 154 of the family's 154-position model. The record is from RNAcentral.
GAAAUGCGAUAAGUAAUGUGAAUUGCAGAAUUCAGUGAAUCAUCGAAUCUUUGAACGCACCUUGCGCUCCUUGGUAUUCCUUGGAGCAUGCCUGUUUGAGUAUCAUGAAAUCUUCAAAGUAAAUCUUUUGUUAACUCAAUUGGUUUCUACUUUGGUAUUGGAGGUCUUUGCAGCUUCACACCUGCUCCUCUUUGUUCAUUAGCUGGAUCUCAGUGUUAUGCUUGGUUCCACUCGGCGUGAUAAGUUAUCUAUCGCUGAGGACACUGUAAAAGGUGGCCAAGGAAAAUGCAGAUGAACCGCUUCUAAUAGUCCAUUGACUUGGACAAUACUUUUAUGAUCUGAUCUCAAAUCAGGUAGGACUACCCGCUGAUCUUAAGC